UACGAAGGGGGCUAGCGUUGUUCGGAAUCACUGGGCGUAAAGCGCACGUAGGCGGAUCUUUAAGUCAGGGGUGAAAUCCCGAGGCUCAACCUCGGAACUGCCUUUGAUACUGGGGAUCUCGAGUCCGGGAGAGGUGAGUGGAACUGCGAGUGUAGAGGUGAAAUUCGUAGAUAUUCGCGAGAACACCAGUGGCGGAGGCGGCUCACUGGCCCGGAACUGACGCUGAGGUGCGAAAGCGUGGGGAGCAAACAGG
RNAcentral lists this ribosomal RNA (253 nucleotides) under uncultured bacterium. RNAcentral's name for it is "partial 16S ribosomal RNA". It matches the Rfam family "Bacterial small subunit ribosomal RNA", at positions 524 to 776 of the family's 1533-position model. The record is from RNAcentral.